CCUGCCCCUGAACGUGUUACAACUGUGACUGCUGUGUCACACAUGUCAGCAGGUGUCAGAGAGAGAAAAAGCGAUUCCUAUUCUCAGUGUCCUGACUUGUGAACAUCUGAGUGAUUGGUAGCCUAAUACU
This is a small nucleolar RNA of Rattus rattus (black rat), 130 nucleotides long. RefSeq annotates it as small nucleolar RNA SNORA17. The record is from RefSeq and is a predicted model, not a curated record. The transcript has a single exon. NCBI's taxonomy places the organism in Eukaryota, Metazoa, Chordata, Mammalia, Rodentia, Muridae.